RNAcentral lists this ribosomal RNA (960 nucleotides) under uncultured bacterium. RNAcentral describes it as "bacterial SSU rRNA". It matches the Rfam family "Bacterial small subunit ribosomal RNA", at positions 28 to 904 of the family's 1533-position model. The record is from RNAcentral.
GAUGAACGCUGGCGGCGUGCUUAACACAUGCAAGUCGAGCGGGCAAUUUAUCUAGCACUGAUUACUUCGAAUGGAAAUCAUAAGUGUAAUCAUGAAUUUCUACCUUUUAAUAAAGAAAAAAGAAAUUCAUGUACGCAAAUAGUGAUAACACAUUUUAGCGGAGUGAUGAGUGCUGGAUAAAUUGCUAGCGGCGGACGGGUGCGUAACACGUGGGUAACCUGCCCCUAUCACUGGGAUAACACACUGAAAAGUGUGCUAAUACCAGAUAAUAUAAGCUUUUGGCAUCAUUAGCUUAUCAAAGAAUUUCGGAUAGGGAUGGGCCCGCGUCUGAUUAGCUAGUUGGUGAGGUAACGGCUCACCAAGGCAACGAUCAGUAGCCGACCUGAGAGGGUGAUCGGCCACACUGGAACUGAGACACGGUCCAGACUCCUACGGGAGGCAGCAGUGGGGAAUAUUGCACAAUGGGCGAAAGCCUGAUGCAGCAACGCCGCGUGAGCGAUGAAGGCCUUCGGGUCGUAAAGCUCUGUCCUAUGGGAAGAUAAUGACGGUACCAUAGGAGGAAGCCCCGGCUAACUACGUGCCAGCAGCCGCGGUAAUACGUAGGGGGCAAGCGUUAUCCGGAAUUACUGGGCGUAAAGGGUGCGUAGGCGGUUUAUCAAGUCAGGGGUGAAAGGCUACGGCUCAACCGUAGUGAGCCUCUGAAACUGGUGAACUUGAGUGUAGGAGAGGAAAGUGGAAUUCCCAGUGUAGCGGUGAAAUGCGUAGAUAUUGGGAGGAACACCAGUGGCGAAGGCGACUUUCUGGACUACAACUGACGCUGAGGCACGAAAGCGUGGGGAGCAACAGGAUUAGAUACCCUGGUAGUCCACGCUGUAAACGAUGAGUACUAGGUGUCGCUGUCAAGUCGGUGCUGCGUACACAUUAGUACUCGCUGGGAGUACGCUCGCAGAUGAAACUCAA